This 427-nucleotide ribosomal RNA is filed under the name uncultured bacterium. RNAcentral's name for it is "partial 16S ribosomal RNA". It matches the Rfam family "Bacterial small subunit ribosomal RNA", at positions 355 to 774 of the family's 1533-position model. The record is from RNAcentral.
UGGGGAAUAUUGCACAAUGGGCGCAAGCCUGAUGCAGCCAUGCCGCGUGUAUGAAGAAGGCCUUCGGGUUGUAAAGUACUUUCAGCGGGGAGGAAGGUGUUGAGGUUAAUAACCUCAGCAAUUGACGUUACCCGCAGAAGAAGCACCGGCUAACUCCGUGCCAGCAGCCGCGGUAAUACGGAGGGUGCAAGCGUUAAUCGGAAUUACUGGGCGUAAAGCGCACGCAGGCGGUCUGUCAAGUCGGAUGUGAAAUCUCCGGGCUCAACCUGGGAACUGCAUUCGAAACUGGCAGGCUAGAGUCUUGUAGAGGGGGGUAGAAUUCCAGGUGUAGCGGUGAAAUGCGUAGAGAUCUGGAGGAAUACCGGUGGCGAAGGCGGCCCCCUGGACAAAGACUGACGCUCAGGUGCGAAAGCGUGGGGAGCAAACA